Molecule: long non-coding RNA, 1398 nt
Organism: Cannabis sativa
Lineage: Eukaryota; Viridiplantae; Streptophyta; Magnoliopsida; Rosales; Cannabaceae
Exons: 2
Source: RefSeq, a predicted model, not a curated record
CUAUGAUAAUUAAUAAACAGCACGUAAAUAUUAAAUUCAAAUAUUGUUUAUUAAAUAUAAGUAAAUAUAAUAUUAUUUUUUGAAAGGUAAUGAAAAAUUUAUUAGAAUGAAGCUUGAAGCAUUACAAUAGAUAAAAGUUCAUUUCGAGUAUUAUUUUUGGUAAACAUACGAACUGGAUAGAAACAAGAGCUACACGCAAUACCAUGCGCAGCUUUGUUUACAGAUCGUUUAACAAAAUGAAUCUCAACAGACUUUAAACAGUCUAAAAUGAGCUUACAAUCCUAGACCAAAAGACCAAAGGGUGAUGGCAUAUAGAUUGAGCUAUGCAAAGCUUGGAUAGCAACCAAACAAUUAGUUUCAAGUUAUACAUCCAUCCAGCCCUUUCUCUUAAUCCAAAUAAGAGUCUCCUUAAUGCUGACGAUCUCAACGAUGGCAUCAUCAACACAGCCAGGCUUACUCGUAGAAAAAGCUUUAAGAAGCUGACCACGACAGUCACGGGCCACACCUCUAGCCCCCUACCAGCCUUUCGAAAGAAAUAAAGCACCAUCAACAUUUACCUUAAUCUUGUUCAAACCUAGUUCAGUAUAAUGCUCAAGUCCUGUGUCCAAACCCGAAGAAAAAAAACAAAGGACCAUAUUUUUUAGAUUGAGAAACCUUCCACUGAUUAAGAACUGAUCUUGCUGAAAGCACCACAUCAAAAGACGUAGCAUACUUUCCCCUUUCAAACUACAUCAUUGCGGGCAUUCCAAAUCGCCUAGCCGAGCAUCGCUGCUUCCUCAAAAAUUGCAUCAGAACAAGGCUUCUGAUGUGGAAAAUGGAUAGCUUCCAAACAAACUUCCACAUAGCCACAUCAUUUACAUCCACCUGCUUGGAAUGAUCUUUGGCAAUGAACUAGGGGAUUGUGCUUUGUGUGAUGAAGUGAAUAGGAAUACCACAAGCAAUCUUUUGGGUGGAUGUGACUUGAUCAAAAGACUUUGAUUUACAAGCAAGUGGAAUCUGAGAAUUGAGACUUUGAAUUUGGUUUUGGGACAGGAGCUUCUCAAGUGGAUCCUUAACCAUCCUUUCCUCAAGAAAGAAGAUUGCAGUGAAGUUAAAAUGGAGGUUUAUCUUUGCAGCCUGUCUUUAUCACAAAAUGUGGAAUGCAAAGAAAGUGAGAGUGAUAGUCAAAGAUGGUUUUGGUAAUACUAUAUUAUCGAUGGUUUAUUGAUGGCAGGCUGAUAUUUUCUUGCUAAGUAAUUUAAAUGAUUAUCGAUGGUUUAUUAAUAGUAUAUUGGUGGUUUAUCGAUGAUUCUGUCUUGUGUGAUACUUUUGUUAUUUUUUACUAUAUUUUGUCUAGAGUCUAAAUAGUAUCAAUGUACCAUUAAAAAAUUAUCGAAAAUUUUCAUCAAUUAUCGAGAA